RNAcentral lists this small RNA (437 nucleotides) under Histoplasma ohiense. RNAcentral describes it as "hypothetical lncRNA". The record is from RNAcentral. Lineage: Eukaryota; Fungi; Ascomycota; Eurotiomycetes; Onygenales; Ajellomycetaceae.
GAGCACAACAUUUCAUGGCAUCAAUUGAAGUGGCAGAAGUUGAAUCAGUCAGUGACAGUAUAUUGAGAUAAAUUUGGUUGAUCAAAGACAUGUCAAGGAAAUUUAAUUGAAGAAACAGCUGCCUCAGACCACUGUUUCUCAACAAUUUCAUUUGUGAUUGAAGAAGUGUUGCAGACUUCAGCUUACUUCUGACCCUCUUUAUAACUCCUCCUCUGUACAGAAGUAGAUUUGAAGCAGAUUAAGAUGUUUUUCAAACUGAGAGGUGCUGACCUGUCCGAUCUUAUAGAUGUAUGAUAACUACAAAUUCAUUGCAUGCAUCUGAUAUAUUUAAACCUUGAUGAGGGGCCAGGGCUUUGAUACUUUUCUUGAUUGAUGUGUUGAUGUUGUAGCUGCCAGAGGACAGGAUGUGAAACAGUGAAAGGGUAUUUCAGACAUGC